Molecule: long non-coding RNA, 245 nt
Filed under: Cricetulus griseus (Chinese hamster)
Lineage: Eukaryota; Metazoa; Chordata; Mammalia; Rodentia; Cricetidae
Description: lncRNA (ENSCGRG00000025438.1)
Source: RNAcentral
GAAGAGUUGAGACUGAGACUGAGACUGGACCAGUUCAGAAAUCAGCCUGGCAAUAACAGUCAAAACCAGGAUUUCAUGGGGCAUUCUAAGCAAAUGCUUCCUGGAGGUUGGGAGUACUGUGUCCUUAGUCACAAAGAGACACAGACAGGGGGACUGUCAGCUGGUGUCGGAGGAGCCAAGCAAGUCAUCAGCCGCUGGAACACCUGAGGGUAACUUACGUUCCUGGUUCCUCAGCAGCCCCGUCC